Long non-coding RNA from Neopsephotus bourkii (Bourke's parrot), 1968 nucleotides. RefSeq lists it as uncharacterized. The record is from RefSeq and is a predicted model, not a curated record. The transcript has 3 exons. NCBI's taxonomy places the organism in Eukaryota, Metazoa, Chordata, Aves, Psittaciformes, Psittacidae.
UGGUUAAAACAGUACAUUGUUAGAUUGUGUGCAAAAUAAUAUUUAUCACUUUUUACUAAAAUGAUGUUUUGAAAAGCAAUUUCCAAUCUUUGUAUGAACUUCAACAAAAGAACACCCUUCUUUGAAAAUAUUUUCAUCAGAUUCAAACAUAUUUCCAUCAUAAUACUUUAAGACAUCUAGGACUAAAUUAUGAAACUCAGUUACAUUCUGCCAUAAUUUUUGUGGUAAAUAUGUGAUCUUUUUUGAUCGUAAUGUCUUUUUCUACAGCUGUUGUAGGGUCUUCUGGUGACAAUCACCAUAUCGUUAAAUAUACAGUAAGCAGCUAGAGCUGUUGAUUUUAUAAACUGUGUCAAGUCUAUUAUGAAGGGUCCCAAGACACUAAGUUUUUACCAUGAAAAAUUAAAUUGAUGCUCCUGAAGACUGAUGAGAGGCUGAAGAUCUCAGAGUUUGGGGCAUUUCUUCUGGUUCUUUAGCUUUCCUUCUUUUAAUUGGUUAUCCCAAGGCAUGGGAAGACAGAACGACCCAAUUUCAGAAAAUGAGUUGUAAUCACCAGGGAUUAUAUUUUUUUUUUCAACAGACAUUUCAGGAUAUAGUCUGAAAUCCUGAUGGAAAUAGCAGUGAAUAGCUCAUCAGCCUCCAGGAAGAUGAAUCUGAACCAUUUUCUGAGACAAAGACAAAUCAGGUUGUUUCUGUUAGCCCUGAUGUCUUGCCUUUGCAAAUGGCACGUUCAGUGUGAAAAAUGAGUCCAAAUCUCCAUACAGAACUGAGUGUGAUUCCACUGGGAAACUGGCAGAUUUUGCAGAAACCUGUGGAGCUGAAACCACUGAAUACAGCUCCAUUUGCCUUCUGGACUUCUCUGAUGAAAUCCCAAAGGAGGAACUAGAAAGUGCUAUAUGGUACCAGGGUUCCCUUCUGCAGACAAAGGCAUCCCUGACAGACAAUUCAAACUUGGAUAUUCAACACCAGGCAUGUGCAACAAUGACAACUGGAUUUUUGUUCUUGCUCCUCAUUCGUAUAUAAUUCCCUGCACAUUCAGAGGAUUACACACUGUUUAUGCAUCAUGCAAUCUCACUGAGUCCUGUUUCUUUACAGUACUUACUCCUGCUGCUAAAGGGAAAAUAGGCUCUAACAAUCCUCUUUUCGUGCCAAAGCUGCUGCUACUGAAUGAACACAUCCUGCCUGCAGUAGUCUGAUUGAUCCCUGCAAUCCCUGUAUCCAACAGAAGUUCAAAAGGAUUCUGCUGCUCCAAGGACUAAAAUUGGUAUUCGUUUAAGAUUUAUGGGCAAACUAAAGCUCCUUCAUGUAACAGCAGAUGCUGUUCUGCCUUUCAACUCCGCAGCACACCAAAGUGACACCGAACAAGUUCAAACCCUGGAUGGCCUUGACAACAUACUACACCUUAAGACUGCCAUUUCCUAGCUCAGAAUCCUCUUUAGCUCACAAGCAAUAGCUAAUGUCACUCAACUUAGACACAGCUUGCAGCUCCAUUCUGAAGCAGGACACAUACACCUGGAACCUGCUCAAAAUAAUAAAUUCUAAAUAAUCUAGCGCAUGGUAGCGCUUUGCACAGCUACUGUUAAGGCCACCUUUGCAGCUUGUCAAACCCCAUUGCUUUUAAAAGCUCAGUCCUGCUGCUAUGAAGUACAAUUCAUACAUCCUUAUAACCCCUUGCAGUGCUUGGGUAGGCUAAAAAGAUAGGCCUUAACAGAUUGCUUUGAAGAGUGGAGAAUUGAAAUGUUUUCCUGUAACAAAGACCUUUACAGGUUAUAUAUGAAGUGUGUGCUUAUGACCAACCUUAAGACAAAUAGAUGAUUAGACUAGAGGGACAUCAUUUUUAUAGCUUAUUUUAUAUUUUGAUGUGCCAUCCCCACACUCACAUGAUUCACUUUCUCUUUUUAAUUGCCUCUCUUCUGAAGAGACAAAGGACUACAAAAUGUAUUGUUUGCUAUGGUGGUCCAAAAUACUCAU